UACAGAGGGUGCGAGCGUUGUUCGGAAUUAUUGGGCGUAAAGGGCUCGUAGGCGGCCUACUAAGUCAGACGUGAAAUCCCUCGGCUUAACCGGGGAACUGCGUCUGAUACUGGUUGGCUUGAAUCCGGGAGAGGGAUGUGGAAUUCCAGGUGUAGCGGUGAAAUGCGUAGAUAUCUGGAGGAACACCGGUGGCGAAGGCGGCAUCCCGGACCGGUAUUGACGCUGAGGAGCGAAAGCCAGGGGAGCAAACGGG
This 253-nucleotide ribosomal RNA is filed under the name uncultured bacterium. RNAcentral describes it as "partial 16S ribosomal RNA". It matches the Rfam family "Bacterial small subunit ribosomal RNA", at positions 524 to 776 of the family's 1533-position model. The record is from RNAcentral.